AGAUUGAACGCUGGCGGCAGGCCUAACACAUGCAAGUCGAGCGGUAGAGAGGUGCUUGCAUCUCUUGAGAGCGGCGGACGGGUGAGUAAUGCCUAGGAAUCUGCCUAGUGGUGGGGGAUAACGUUCGGAAACGGACGCUAAUACCGCAUACGUCCUACGGGAGAAAGCGGGGGACCUUCGGGCCUCGCGCCAUUAGAUGAGCCUAGGUCGGAUUAGCUAGUUGGUGAGGUAAUGGCUCACCAAGGCGACGAUCCGUAACUGGUCUGAGAGGAUGAUCAGUCACACUGAACUGAGACACGGUCCAGACCUCCUACGGGAGGCAGGCAGGUGGGGAAUAGUUAGGAACUAAGUGGGGACGAAAGGCCCUAGACUCCAGCCAUGCCGCGUGUGGUAGAAGAAGGUUCGUUCGGUAUUAGUAAAGACUAACGUUUAAGGUAGGGAGGUAAGGUUACGUAAACCUUAAUUACGGUUG
This 472-nucleotide ribosomal RNA is filed under the name uncultured soil bacterium. RNAcentral describes it as "bacterial SSU rRNA". It matches the Rfam family "Bacterial small subunit ribosomal RNA", at positions 26 to 478 of the family's 1533-position model. The record is from RNAcentral.